This 820-nucleotide ribosomal RNA is filed under the name Calathus ruficollis. Its description in RNAcentral is "eukaryotic LSU rRNA". It matches the Rfam family "Eukaryotic large subunit ribosomal RNA", at positions 406 to 908 of the family's 3401-position model. The record is from RNAcentral. Lineage: Eukaryota; Metazoa; Arthropoda; Insecta; Coleoptera; Carabidae.
UGUUCAGGGGUAAACCUGUGGUUCCCGAAAGUUCGAACGGGGAGAUUCAAUUGCCUCGCCGGUUAUGACCAUUUAACAGUGAUGUGUUUAUGAUAUAUAUUUGAGACAUUAUAUGGCGGUUGCGGGUUUAUUCUCGUAGCUGUUUCUGUAUAGUGCUCCACUGUUUUAUGCAUAUAUAGUUUAUAGCCGGAGGCGUGCACUUCUCCCCUUGUAGGACGUCGUGACCCAUUGGAUUAUGUUGUCUAAGGCUUAUAAUGGAGACCGUGGCAUUAAGUUUCGGCUUUAAUGACCCGGACUUAUAAUGUCCCGACAUCUAUCCGAUGGUAUAAUUAUGAUGAUAGAUCGCUAUAAAUGUGAUAUGAGCGUUCAGAUCCAUAACAAAUUCUUUUUAUGGGAAAUAGUGGAAAUCGGAUUUAAUGCCGAUUCUACACAUAUAGUAUUGAUAGUUGUGGUAUUCUCGAACCGUUCUUUAUCAUCAGUCAACGGCGUUUAUGUUUUGGGUAAUUACAGGACCCGUCUUGAAACACGGACCAAGGAGUCUAGCAUGUGCGCAAGUCAUUGGGACUUUGUGAAACCUAAAGGCGUAAUGAAAGUGAAAUAUUUGUGAAUUUUCGUAAUUCACUGAAUUUAAGGGAAGAUGGGUAACGUUUUUUAUGUUACCUCGCAUUCCCGGGGCGUCGCGUACUUAUUGCAAGUUGCGGCGCACCAAGAGCGUACACGCUGGGACCCGAAAGAUGGUGAACUAUGCCUGGUCAGGAUGAAGUCAGGGGAAACCCUGAUGGAGGUCCGUAGCGAUUCUGACGUGCAAAUYGAUCGUAUG